RNAcentral lists this ribosomal RNA (440 nucleotides) under uncultured bacterium. Its description in RNAcentral is "partial 16S ribosomal RNA". It matches the Rfam family "Bacterial small subunit ribosomal RNA", at positions 338 to 795 of the family's 1533-position model. The record is from RNAcentral.
CCUACGGGGGGCAGCAGUGGGGAAUAUUGCACAAUGGGGGAAACCCUGAUGCAGCGACGCCGCGUGAAGGAUGAAGUAUUUCGGUAUGUAAACUUCUAUCAGCAGGGAAGAAAAUGACGGUACCUGACUAAGAAGCCCCGGCUAACUACGUGCCAGCAGCCGCGGUAAUACGUAGGGGGCAAGCGUUAUCCGGAUUUACUGGGUGUAAAGGGAGCGUAGACGGCAUGGCAAGUCUGAUGUGAAAACCCGGGGCCCAACCCCGGGAGUGCAUUGGAAACUGCCAGGCUGGAGUGUCGGAGGGGUAAGCGGAAUUCCUAGUGUAGCGGUGAAAUGCGUAGAUAUUAGGAGGAACACCAGUGGCGAAGGCGGCUUACUGGACGACUACUGACGCUGAGGCUCGAAAGCGUGGGGAGCAAACAGGAUUAGAUACCCGAGUAGUC